GUCAUGAAGGCAAAUCUUGGCUCUUUUUGCCUUUUCUCUCCUUUCUUCUUUGUCUUGCCCUCUUUCUUAGAGCAUUCUCCUCCAUCCUCAGACCUUUUUGGUGGGAUCUCUUUCUUUGUUUUUCCUGAAUCUUCCUCACCACCAGCCUCACUUGAAGAGAAAGAAACAGAAGAAUUAGGGGUGACAGGAUUUUCACCGUUUCCACCUCCACCUAAAUCUCCAAUUUCCACAGGCUUUGGAUUGCCUUGUUUAGAAGAAAAAACUUCAGAAGACGAAGGCGACAUGCCAAAGGCUUUUGCAAGAGAGUUAUAGUCCAUGGAUCCAUGUAAGCACUCAGUGAAGCUCAUGUAGGAAGAAGGAUCAAACCCUUGUGACCCAUAAGUUGACGAAAUGGAAGGAGGCUCUUGAUUGUAACCUCCAGCUUCAUCGAUGAUAUCAUAGUGAUCUUCAUGGGAAGGAGCAUGGUAGUAGAGGUCUCUGUGUUCAUCAGACAUGGAGGAAGAA
Molecule: unclassified non-coding RNA, 504 nt
Filed under: Hevea brasiliensis (rubber tree)
Lineage: Eukaryota; Viridiplantae; Streptophyta; Magnoliopsida; Malpighiales; Euphorbiaceae
Source: RNAcentral